UACAGAGGUCUCAACCGUUGUUCGGAUUCAUUGGGCGUAAAGGGUGCGUAGGCGGUCGCGCAAGUCGGAUGUGAAAUCUCGAGGCUCAACCUGAACUAGCAUUCGAUACUGCGUGGCUAGAGUGCUGGAGAGGAGACUGGAAUUUACGGUGUAGCAGUGAAAUGCGUAGAUAUCGUAAGGAAGACCAGUGGCGAAGGCGGAGUCUCUGGACAGUUCCUGACGCUGAGGCACGAAGGUCAGGGGAGCAAACGGG
RNAcentral lists this ribosomal RNA (253 nucleotides) under uncultured bacterium. RNAcentral describes it as "partial 16S ribosomal RNA". It matches the Rfam family "Bacterial small subunit ribosomal RNA", at positions 524 to 776 of the family's 1533-position model. The record is from RNAcentral.